UACGGAGGGUGCAAGCGUUAUCCGGAUUCACUGGGUUUAAAGGGUGCGUAGGCGGGCAGGUAAGUCCGUGGUGAAAUCUCUGAGCUUAACUCAGAAACUGCCGUGGAUACUAUUUGCCUUGAAUAUUGUGGAGGUGAGCGGAAUAUGUCAUGUAGCGGUGAAAUGCGCAGAUAUCAGGAGGAACACCGGUGGCGAAGGCGGGUCUCUGGGCUGACACUGACGCUCAUGCACGAAAGCGUGGGGAGCAAACAGG
RNAcentral lists this ribosomal RNA (253 nucleotides) under uncultured bacterium. RNAcentral describes it as "partial 16S ribosomal RNA". It matches the Rfam family "Bacterial small subunit ribosomal RNA", at positions 524 to 776 of the family's 1533-position model. The record is from RNAcentral.